This 73-nucleotide transfer RNA is filed under the name Saprospiraceae bacterium. RNAcentral describes it as "tRNA-Phe". It matches the Rfam family "tRNA". From Rfam's summary of the family: Transfer RNA (tRNA) molecules are approximately 80 nucleotides in length. Their secondary structure includes four short double-helical elements and three loops (D, anti-codon, and T loops). Further hydrogen bonds mediate the characteristic L-shaped molecular structure. tRNAs have two regions of fundamental functional importance: the anti-codon, which is responsible for specific mRNA codon recognition, and the 3' end, to which the tRNAs corresponding amino acid is attached (by aminoacyl-tRNA synthetases). tRNAs cope with the degeneracy of the genetic code in two manners: having more than one tRNA (with a specific anti-codon) for a particular amino acid; and 'wobble' base-pairing, i.e. permitting non-standard base-pairing at the 3rd anti-codon position. Lineage: Bacteria; Pseudomonadati; Bacteroidota; Saprospiria; Saprospirales; Saprospiraceae. The record is from RNAcentral.
GGGGAUGUAGCUCCAAUGGUAGAGCGGCGGUUUGAAGAACCGCGCGGUGUUGGUUCGACUCCAACUGUCCCCA